GGGGAUGUUUGGUUUUGACAGCAAGGCAAAUCGGAAUGUAAGCAUGUCGAGCGUCGAGAAGCCGGCUCGUAAAUCCCGGAACUCAAGCCUUAAAUGGCGACAACAACUAUGCUCUCGCAGCCUAAUACGCUAGGCGUAUUUGCAGGCUUAAUCGAGCAACCCAAGGCGGUUGUUUGACGAGGAUCCCGCAGUUGGCUCUCUUUUCGGCUGACUUGCAACGGGGUUUCAUCUUUCGAGAAGAUAGCGCGGACGACGCCUUUAACUCCGUGCGAAACUUAUAAGGCUAAGGAUAAGGUCGGCCAUCUUUUCGGCAAGCCUUUUCUCUAAAAUUAAAGGAAAGAUAAACAUGUAGAAAGCGUUUGGGUUACUUGUUUGGACGCGGGUUCGACUCCCGCCAUCUCCACAG
This 406-nucleotide transfer-messenger RNA is filed under the name Prevotellaceae bacterium. It matches the Rfam family "transfer-messenger RNA". Rfam says of the family: Bacterial tmRNA, also known as 10Sa RNA or SsrA, is named for its dual tRNA and mRNA-like properties. Its role is to liberate the mRNA from a stalled ribosome. To accomplish this part of the tmRNA is used as a reading frame that ends in a translation stop signal. Lineage: Bacteria; Pseudomonadati; Bacteroidota; Bacteroidia; Bacteroidales; Prevotellaceae. The record is from RNAcentral.